UCAAGAAACUUCCACAAUGGGCGAAAGCCUGAUGGAGCGACGUCGCGUGAUGGACGAAGUGCUUCGGCACGUAAACAUCUUUUAUGUGGGAUGAAAUUAUUGACAGUACCACAUGGAUAAGGGGCUCCUAACUCUGUGCCAGCAGGAGCGGUAAUACAGAGGCCCCAAGCGUUAUCCGGAAUCACUGGGCGUAAAGGGUGUCGAGGCGGUUGUAUUAGUCGUUCGUAAAAUCUACGAGCUUAACUUGUAGGCGGCGAACGAAACGGUACGACUUGAGGUUUGGAGAGGUGCGUGGAACUCACGGUGUAGGGGUGAAAUCCGUUGAUAUCGUGGGGAACACCAAAGGCGAAGGCAGCGCACUGGCCAAAAUCUGACGCUCACACACGAAAGCUAGGGUAGCGAAGAGGAUUAGAUACCCAGGUAGUCCCUGAGCGGGCUGGCAAGG
This 445-nucleotide ribosomal RNA is filed under the name uncultured bacterium. RNAcentral's name for it is "bacterial SSU rRNA". It matches the Rfam family "Bacterial small subunit ribosomal RNA", at positions 355 to 820 of the family's 1533-position model. The record is from RNAcentral.